UCAGAGUGAACGCUGGCGGUAGGCCUAACACAUGCAAGUCGAACGGCAGCACAGGAGAGCUUGCUCUCUGGGUGGCGAGUGGCGGACGGGUGAGGAAUACAUCGGAAUCUACCUUUUCGUGGGGGAUAACGUAGGGAAACUUACGCUAAUACCGCAUAAGACCUUCGGGUGAAAGCCGGGGACCUUCGGGCCUGGCGCGGAUAGAUGAGCCGAUGUCGGAUUAGCUUGUUGGCGGGGUAAAAGCCCACCAAGGCGACGAUCCGUAGCUGGUCUGAGAGGAUGAUCAGCCACACUGGAACUGAGACACGGUCCAGACUCCUACGGGAGGCAGCAGUGGGGAAUAUUGGACAAUGGGCGCAAGCCUGAUCCAGCCAUACCGCGUGGGUGAAGAAGGCCUUCGGGUUGUAAAGCCCUUUUGUUGGGAAAGAAAUCCUGCCGGUUAAUAACCAGUAGGGAUGACGGUA
This 464-nucleotide ribosomal RNA is filed under the name barley rhizosphere bacterium LJ84. RNAcentral describes it as "bacterial SSU rRNA". It matches the Rfam family "Bacterial small subunit ribosomal RNA", at positions 24 to 477 of the family's 1533-position model. The record is from RNAcentral.